RNAcentral lists this ribosomal RNA (221 nucleotides) under uncultured bacterium. RNAcentral's name for it is "partial 16S ribosomal RNA". It matches the Rfam family "Bacterial small subunit ribosomal RNA", at positions 576 to 793 of the family's 1533-position model. The record is from RNAcentral.
CGGUUUCGUUAAGUACUGAUGUGAAGACUUCGGCGUUGUACCGGAGAAGUGCAUCGGAAACUGGAUAACUUGAGUGCAGAAGAGGGUAGUGGAACUCCAUGUGUAGCGGUGGAAUGCGUAGAUAUAUGGAAGAACACCAGUGGCGAAGGCGGCUACCUGGUCUGCAACUGACGCUGAGACUCGAAAGCAUGGGUAGCGAACAGGAUUAGAUACCCUGGUAG